This 320-nucleotide unclassified non-coding RNA is filed under the name plant metagenome. RNAcentral's name for it is "partial contains 5.8S ribosomal RNA, internal transcribed spacer 2, and large subunit ribosomal RNA". The stretch from base 1 to 105 matches the Rfam family "5.8S ribosomal RNA", at positions 50 to 154 of the family's 154-position model. The record is from RNAcentral.
GAAAUGCGAUAAGUAAUGUGAAUUGCAGAAUUCAGUGAAUCAUCGAAUCUUUGAACGCACAUUGCGCCCGCCAGUAUUCUGGCGGGCAUGCCUGUUCGAGCGUCAUUACAACCCUCAGGCCCCCGGGCCUGGCGUUGGGGAUCGGCGGAAGCCCCCUGCGGGCACAACGCCGUCCCCCAAAUACAGUGGCGGUCCCGCCGCAGCUUCCAUUGCGUAGUAGCUAACACCUCGCAACUGGAGAGCGGCGCGGCCACGCCGUAAAACACCCAACUUCUGAAUGUUGACCUCGCAUCAGGUAGGAAUACCCGCUGACCUUACGC